GAGUUUGAUCAUGGCUCAGGACGAACGCUGGCGGCGUGCUUAACACAUGCAAGUCGAGCGGUAAGGCCUUUCGGGGUACACGAGCGGCGAACGGGUGAGUAACACGUGGGUGAUCUGCCCUGCACUUCGGGAUAAGCCUGGGAAACUGGGUCUAAUACCGGAUAUGACCUCCUAUCGCAUGAUGGGUGGUGGAAAGAUUUAUCGGUGCAGGAUGGGCCCGCGGCCUAUCAGCUUGUUGGUGGGGUAAUGGCCUACCAAGGCGACGACGGGUAGCCGACCUGAGAGGGUGACCGGCCACACUGGGACUGAGACACGGCCCAGACUCCUACGGGAGGCAGCAGUGGGGAAUAUUGCACAAUGGGCGAAAGCCUGAUGCAGCGACGCCGCGUGAGGGAUGACGGCCUUCGGGUUGUAAACCUCUUU
Molecule: ribosomal RNA, 423 nt
Filed under: Rhodococcus sp. 1a
Lineage: Bacteria; Bacillati; Actinomycetota; Actinomycetes; Mycobacteriales; Nocardiaceae
Description: SSU rRNA
Rfam family: Bacterial small subunit ribosomal RNA
Source: RNAcentral